Molecule: long non-coding RNA, 219 nt
Filed under: Lathyrus oleraceus (garden pea)
Lineage: Eukaryota; Viridiplantae; Streptophyta; Magnoliopsida; Fabales; Fabaceae
Description: Pisum sativum (pea) long non-coding RNA (PSAT_LNC010810)
Source: RNAcentral
UUCAAACAUCAUCAAUGAUGAACAUACAUGAACAAUUUAAAACAUAAAUUUCAUUCAACAAAUAUCAAUAUUCAUCAUUAAUCCAAAAAAAAAACUUUCCUCUACCCUUCCAUUCAUGUCCCUAUUGUUGAACCAAAUUUCCACUCUUACCUUGUAAUUCCAGAAAAUCCAACAUUUUGGCUAUGGUUUCUCUUUCCCAUAGCUCUCCUUAGGUUUUCC